UUACCCGCUGAACUUAAGCAUAUCAAUAAGCGGAGGAAAAGAAACUAACAAGGAUUCCCCUAGUAACGGCGAGUGAAGCGGGAAAAGCUCAAAUUUGUAAUCUGGCGCCUUCGGCGUCCGAGUUGUAAUCUCGAGAAGUAUUUUCCGCGCUGGACCGCACAUAAGUCUGUUGGAAUACAGCGUCAUAGUGGUGAGAACCCCGUAUAUGGUGCGGAUGCCCAGUGCUUUGUGAUAUACUUUCGAAGAGUCGAGUUGUUUGGGAAUGCAGCUCAAAUUGGGUGGUAAAUUCCAUCUAAAGCUAAAUACUGGCGAGAGACCGAUAGCGAACAAGUACCGUGAGGGAAAGAUGAAAAGCACUUUGGAAAGAGAGUUAACAGUACGUGAAAUUGUUGGAAGGGAAACGCUUGAAGUCAGACUUGCAUUUUGGAGUUCAGCCGCAAGGUGUACUCUUCAAUUCGCAGGCCAGCAUCAGUUUUCGGGGGUGGAAAAUCGUGGUUUGAAGGUAGCAGUCUCGGCUGUGUUAUAGCUUUCCGCUGGAUUCACUUUUGGGGACUGAGGAACGCAGUACGCUUUUUGCAAGACUCUCGAGUCUUUCGUACUUAGGAUGCUGGUGGAAUGGCUUUAAACGACCCGUCUU
RNAcentral lists this ribosomal RNA (637 nucleotides) under Microbotryum salviae. RNAcentral's name for it is "LSU rRNA". It matches the Rfam family "Eukaryotic large subunit ribosomal RNA", at positions 21 to 655 of the family's 3401-position model. Lineage: Eukaryota; Fungi; Basidiomycota; Microbotryomycetes; Microbotryales; Microbotryaceae. The record is from RNAcentral.